UUAUAACCUGAGACAUUACCUGGUUAUAACCUGGUUAUAAACUGAGACAUUACCUGGUUAUAACCUGGUUAUAACCUGGUUAUAAACUGAGACAUUAC
Molecule: non-coding RNA, 98 nt
Organism: Xyrichtys novacula (pearly razorfish)
Lineage: Eukaryota; Metazoa; Chordata; Actinopteri; Labriformes; Labridae
Source: the annotation of a GenBank genome assembly